Molecule: long non-coding RNA, 1213 nt
Filed under: Piliocolobus tephrosceles (Ugandan red Colobus)
Lineage: Eukaryota; Metazoa; Chordata; Mammalia; Primates; Cercopithecidae
Description: lncRNA (ENSPTEG00000002421.1)
Source: RNAcentral
AAAUGGAGAUGAAAAUGGAGAUGAAAAUGACGAAUCCAGUGACGACACAGACGAUACCUUAAUUACAAAUUUUAAAUCAAAAUAUAAUAACGAUAUUGACUUUUAUUUAGACUUAUGUACAUAUUUUUAUUUUGCAAAAAACAGAGAUGAUUUUUGUUAUCUCAUGAAAUUGGAUAAAAAGAAAACUUCGGAAUUACUUAAAUUAUCUAAUCAGUUAAUACAUAUAAUUAAUCUCAAACUUAACAAAAAUAUUACUUUUGAAAAUUUGGAAAAAAAACCAUCCUCUUUAUCAAAACAAAUAAUACAUUAUGCUAUUAUUCAAGGAUUUAUAGACCAUUUAGCAAUUCGUUAUGAUUUUAUACAUAACGAAUAUACUAGAAAUGUAGAAUGUAAAUAUAAUAAUAAAAAAGCAUAUUUUACUCAAAACAUGAACACACCUGUAUAUAUUAAUUCGACUUCCGCUCUAUAUCCAAAUAGGCCAUACCCAAAAUACAUUUUAUACAAUUAUAUUAUGAAGAAUAAAAACUCAUAUGUUAUGUUUGACUGUUUACAUAUAAACGAGUCGGACUUAGAAAAGAUAACAAAUGCUUGUAUAUUUACUAACACAUACGAAAAAAUUCCUCCACCUAAAUACAAUACUAAAAAGGAUAAAAUUGUUGUUUAUAUAAAACCUAUGUAUUUACCUUAUUCUCUGCAGUUAUCUAUAGCAGAAAAAGAGUUAAACGAAAAUGACGUUUUAUUUUAUAAUUAUCUUGCACUGUUCAUAUUAAAUGGAGCAAUGUUUCCAAAAAUGUGUACAUUCCAAAAACUAUAUUCUCACGACGCAAGUGAUGUAAUUAAUUGUACUCAACAAGAAAUUAAAAAUUUUAUAGCCGCUUUAAAACAAAACAGAAUAGUGAACAGGUCAACUUUAAUAAGUAAAUGGAAACAGAAUAACAAUUUUUUAAAAAAUGAAUUUAUUCCUUUAGUAGAAAACAAAAUUACGAAGUAUAAUCAAAAUGCUGUUCAUGAUUUAUGGCCACCUACGCAUGUUUCAUAACAAUACAUAAAUAUAAAAACUUUGAUAUAUAUCUAUACAUGUAUGUACAUGUAAUCCCAGUUACAUGCAACAAGUUCAAAAACGCGUUUAUAUAUAUCACAUAGUAGUGAUUAUUAUAAACCAUUUUUUAAAUUAUAAAAUAAAAAUAGUUUAUUUAUAUUUAUAUUACGAAAA